UACGAGGGGUGCAAGCGUUGCUCGGAAUUAUUGGGCGUAAAGGGUAGGUAGGUGGUCUGAUUUGUCAGGGGUGAAAGCCUUGGGCUUAACUCAAGAAGUGCCCCUGAAACGGUCAGACUGGAGUCUUGGAGAGGGUCGUGGAAUUCCCGGUGUAGCGGUGAAAUGCGCAGAUAUCAGGAGGAACACCUGUGGCGAAGGCGGCUCUCUGGGACGGUACUGACGCUGAGACGCGAAAGCGUGGGGAGCGAACAGG
This 253-nucleotide ribosomal RNA is filed under the name uncultured bacterium. RNAcentral describes it as "partial 16S ribosomal RNA". It matches the Rfam family "Bacterial small subunit ribosomal RNA", at positions 524 to 776 of the family's 1533-position model. The record is from RNAcentral.